This 447-nucleotide ribosomal RNA is filed under the name Pseudomonas aeruginosa. RNAcentral's name for it is "partial 23S ribosomal RNA". It matches the Rfam family "Bacterial large subunit ribosomal RNA", at positions 2498 to 2925 of the family's 2925-position model. The record is from RNAcentral. Lineage: Bacteria; Pseudomonadati; Pseudomonadota; Gammaproteobacteria; Pseudomonadales; Pseudomonadaceae.
GUUCAUAUCGACGGCGGUGUUUGGCACCUCGAUGUCGGCUCAUCACAUCCUGGGGCUGAAGCCGGUYCCAAGGGUAUGGCUGUUCGCCAUUUAAAGUGGUACGCGAGCUGGGUUUAGAACGUCGUGAGACAGUUCGGUCCCUAUCUGCCGUGGACGUUUGAGAUUUGAGAGGGGCUGCUCCUAGUACGAGAGGACCGGAGUGGACGAACCUCUGGUGUUCCGGUUGUCACGCCAGUGGCAUUGCCGGGUAGCUAUGUUCGGAAAAGAUAACCGCUGAAAGCAUCUAAGCGGGAAACUUGCCUCAAGAUGAGAUCUCACUGGGAACUUGAUUCCCCUGAAGGGCCGUCGAAGACUACGACGUUGAUAGGCUGGGUGUGUAAGCGUUGUGAGGCGUUGAGCUAACCAGUACUAAUUGCCCGUGAGGCUUGACCAUAUAACACCCAAACA